GUUGGGGGAUGGGAUGGGAUGGGUGGUGGAGAGGUCUGUGGGGAAAGCGUGGCCGAGGACCCCUGAGUCUCAGAAGUGAGGCUUCCAAGGUCGUGCAUGAAGGCAGGAGGCGGACAGGCUGGGCCGGGGAUGAGCAGAGCCGGCCCAUGGGCCAAGUGCAGGUCGAUGUUCCGAUGAUGGCGGUGCCCGUUCGGCAAAGCCUGGGGGGCAAAGACCGUGGCUACCUUUUCCGCAAAACUUACCUAGGGCUAUUAGUUUAGCAGAUAUCUAUUGACCUGCCGCAGACUGAGGUGCUGUAGUACCGAAGAGAAAUCUCAGCCUCUGUGGCGCUCAUUUUAGUGGAAGAGGCAGGCGCGAGGGUUGGUUAUGAGGAAUCCAUGAAAACAGGCCAUGGAGAAGCUCUCGGUGACUUAGCUUGUGACGUUGGAUAAUGGACAGGGUACACGGGAUCGAUCCCUGGUCUGGGAAGAUUCUACAUGCUGCAGAGCAACUAAGCCUGAGUGCCACAACUUCUGAAGCCUGCAAACCCUAAAGCCCGUGCUCCUCAACAGAAGCCGCCGCAAUGAAAGGCCCACACACCACAAUUAGAGAAUAGGCCCCACCUGCUGCAACUAGAAAAAGCCCAUGCAGCAACUAAGACCCAGCACAACCAAAGACAAAAUAAUAAAAGGAAAAACUAAAUAUCCUCUUAUCAUCUCACAAUUCUGCUCCAAGGUAUUUACCCAAAUGUAUUAAAAACUUAGGUCCACACAGAAACCUGCACACAAGUGUUUCUAGCUGCUUUAUUCACAAUUGCCAAAAUUUGAAGGCAGCCAAGAUGCCCCUCGAUAAAUGAAUGGAUAAACAAACCGUGAUAAAUCCAGACAAUGGAAUGUUAGCACUACAGAGAAACAAGAUCAGACCAGGCAGCCCAAUUCCCACAACCGUACUUCCACUGCAGGGGGCAUGGUUUUGAUCCCUGGUCUGGGAAC
Long non-coding RNA from Bos taurus (domestic cattle), 971 nucleotides. The record is from Ensembl. Lineage: Eukaryota; Metazoa; Chordata; Mammalia; Artiodactyla; Bovidae.